Myotis brandtii (Brandt's bat) is the source of this 2411-nucleotide long non-coding RNA. RefSeq lists it as uncharacterized. Lineage: Eukaryota; Metazoa; Chordata; Mammalia; Chiroptera; Vespertilionidae. The transcript is spliced from 2 exons. The record is from RefSeq and is a predicted model, not a curated record.
AUAACCCUGCAGGGAUAAAAGGCAUGCUGGUUACAGCAAAUAGCCUUGCAUGUUUUGCUCCCAAGAACACAGAACACAGAACACGACUUCAAAUAGUUGAGAACAACAUUGGUAAGAAGGAAAAAAGAAAAAAAAGGGCAGUGAUUUAUUAUGCCAAGUGAAGGAACGAAUUUUUUUCUGAAAACUGAAUCGUGUUUUUACACAAGAACAUUUAAAAUGUUACUGAUGUUUGUUCGUGGAUGCAACGAUAAGCCUCUCCCAGCUGGCUGCCCUGGGAGAGGAGCCGAGGACUUGCACAGGGACAAGCCCUGUUUAUUAGCUGCGAAUGCUGGGCUGGGGCUGGGGCUGGGCGCAGGGCUGGGCGCGCAUCGUGCAGCUGCCUCCCACUUCCUUUGGGACACUUCCCCAAUCUAGCAACACUUCUGGUCAAAGGAUUCUCUGGUAUUUUGCCCCUAAACUUCCCUCUUCAAUGGGAUACUAUUUCUUCUAGACUCACACCGAGUGUUGUCAGAAGCUUUUUAUCCAGGUUCUGUUUGAUAAACAUCUUAUGGUGGUCAGUUAAUCUUGGCCAAGUUUCAUCUCUUGAUGAAAACACAGACUAGGAAGGUGUGGUAUGCUCUCAUUAGUCUCUCUAGAUCAAGCAUGUCAAACUCAGAGGCUAACGCGGGCCAAAUAAACAAGGCAUGCGGCCUGCGAGUUUAACAUGCUUGCUCUAGAUCAAACCUCAGAACAUUUCUCUCUGGGGCCGAGGUGGGCUAAAUACAUUGGGAUACACGCGUCUCUGGCCUUGGAGACGGAAGCCCUAGGAGUAGCGUGUUCUUUCAGAGGCUCCUUUGCUGCCACCUGCAGAGUAACAUCAGGAGUAUCUCUCACUUCUCUGAGCCAGACCCUUGACAGAUCCCUACAAUGGCUUUGCUCAGCAUGUUUUACAAAGUAGGCACAUGUCUGUGUUUCUCGGUGCCCUCCCAUCGAAGGUGAGCAUCACUGCCCUCACUGGCUCUAAGCUGGGCUCAGGGACGCUUUUCUGGAACAGAGAGCAGUGGACAGGGCACUGAGUUUGUCCCAAGCGUGGCCAGGAAAGGUGCCCGGCGCUUUCUGCCCGCCUCUCUUGGGACCCAGACACGUGCUGUGUGGGUAUCUGGCCAGAGCCCGCGCAGGUCCCAGCCAAUUGGAGCACAAAAGCCAGCGGGGGACCGAAGGCCUUCUGGGGCUCCAGCCCAGCCUCUGGCCACCAGCUGACGCCCACUGGAGCGAGAUGAGCUGUCCUGGCAGAACCCCGUCCUGCCCACAGGCCUGUGCACAGGUAAGUGUGGAGGCCACUGAGCUGUGAGAUGGUUUGUUGUGAAGCAGGAAAUAUCAGGAUCAGUCUGGGUGUGAUCCCUUCCUUCUGCUAGGAGGCGGGCAUGGUGGCAAUGCCUAACAUACUAGUGCGAUCUGUAAAGAGUUUUCAUUGCUCAGUAAAAGUUCGAGUAAGGUCAACAGAGUGGUCGAAUGGAGUGACGGGGGAGGGAGAGUGCUGGGAAGUGAUGGAGCUAAAAUAUCUGACAACAAUGGUGGCAAAGGUCUGUCUGCACUUGGGAUCAUAUGUGACACAGACGUCAACUUGAAGUCCAUCCCUGGUCACUCAUUGAGGGCCACUGCGAGGCCACGAAGGGCCUGCCACCGAGAUGGCAGUGACCGGGAGCGGCCAGGCUGCCAGCCGCCACCACCCCGGGCUGGGCAGGGAGACGACAGCAGCCACUUCUCUGUUGGCCAUUUAAUCGCCUUGCAUGUGUGUGUGUGUGUGUGUGUGACACAGACGCCCAGGCAUCCCUCCACUUUUACUUGGGGUGAAAGUACGGAAUUCUGACUUGAAAAAAGUCAGCAAAAAAUCACUUUAAAAAAUGACAGGUUUGGCAGCUACCGUCUUCAAUAACAACUAUAAUUUAUAAACAAAGAUUAAAUUACACAUACUUUAUAUUUGCUGGCAAUUAAUACAGGUAGGUAAAAAUCACACACACCAACAAAUGCAUCUGUACUCUCAUAUAAAUAUAUAUGUGCGUAUGUGUAAAAUGUGUCUCUAUUUUUAAAAGGUACAAUAUAUUUUCCUUUAACUUUUCUUUUUCUGAAAGCUAAGGAAACGAAGUCCGAGUUUCAUGUCACUGCAGUGUUACAGUGAAUGCACUGACAUGUACAAGGACAGCAAUCCCAUUGCUCUCACUCCUGUAGCUGGACCCCAUUAAAGCGAAGGCGGAACACGUACACUCAUGUAUCCUACCCAGAGGCAGUGCCUUCAUUCCAGGGCAUGGAGUUAUGGUUCCAUAGAAAGUCCUAUGUGAUUCUCUGGAUUUUGGCAAAUGUGCAUUCACACAGAAAACAGAUAGAAUCCAGACUGGAAAACGCAUGGCUGAUGUCUACACGUAAGUCCUUUU